UAUCAAAAACAUCACCUCCAGCAUUCCCAGUAUUGGAGGCAUUGCCUGCCCAGUGACAACUGUUUAACGGCCGCGGUAUCCUGACCGUGCAAAGGUAGCAUAAUCAUUUGUUCUCUAAAUAAGGACUUGUAUGAAUGGCCGCACGAGGGUUUUACUGUCUCUUACUUCCAAUCAGUGAAAUUGACCUUCCCGUGAAGAGGCGGGAAUGCACAAAUAAGACGAGAAGACCCUAUGGAGCUUUAACUAACCAACCCAAAGAGAAUAAAUUUAACCAUUAAGGAGUAACAACAAUCUCCAUGAGUUGGUAGUUUCGGUUGGGGUGACCUCGGAGAAUAAAAAACCCUCCGAGCGAUUUUAAAGACUAGACCCACAAGUCAAAUCACUCUAUCGCUCAUUGAUCCAAAAACUUGAUCAACGGAACAAGUUACCCUAGGGAUAACAGCGCAAUCCUAUUCAAGAGUCCAUAUCGACAAUAGGGUUUACGACCUCGAUGUUGGAUCAGGACAUCCUGAUGGUGCAACCGCUAUCAAAGGUUCGUUUGUUCAACGAUUAAAGUCCUACGUGAUCUGA
This 570-nucleotide ribosomal RNA is filed under the name Bos taurus (domestic cattle). RNAcentral's name for it is "partial 16S ribosomal RNA". It matches the Rfam family "Bacterial large subunit ribosomal RNA", at positions 1805 to 2608 of the family's 2925-position model. Lineage: Eukaryota; Metazoa; Chordata; Mammalia; Artiodactyla; Bovidae. The record is from RNAcentral.